Molecule: non-coding RNA, 194 nt
Filed under: Candidatus Ornithomonoglobus intestinigallinarum
Lineage: Bacteria; Bacillati; Bacillota; Clostridia
Description: 6S RNA
Rfam family: 6S / SsrS RNA
About the family: E. coli 6S RNA was the first non coding RNA to be sequenced, but its function was unknown until recently.
Source: RNAcentral
UUUUCCCUGAGAUUUCGCGUGAAAAAGUCUUUUUUUUACCAACACUUCUUAAAAGGGAUUGCUUCUCCGAAUGCAGCGUAUACGCCUCCUUUUCUUCGGAAAUGCCAGUGGACAUAUAAAACAUUCGGGAGCUUGCCCACCUGCAUAUGCAGGUAGAAAACAGACUUUGCAAAAACGGUUAUUUCGGGGUUUGU